CCUACGGGAGGCAGCAGUGGGGAAUUUUGGACAAUGGGCGCAAGCCUGAUCCAGCCAUGCCGCGUGUGGGAAGAAGGCCUUCGGGUUGUAAACCACUUUUGUCAGGGAAGAAACGGUCUUUUCUAAUACAGAGGGCUAAUGACGGUACCUGAAGAAUAAGCACCGGCUAACUACGUGCCAGCAGCCGCGGUAAUACGUAGGGUGCAGGCGUUAAUCGGAAUUACUGGGCGUAAAGCGUGCGCAGGCGGCUUUGCAAGACAGGUGUGAAAUCCCCGGGCUCAACCUGGGAACUGCAUUUGUGACUGCAUGGCUAGAGUACGGUAGAGGGGGAUGGAAUUCCGCGUGUAGCAGUGAAAUGCGUAGAUAUGCGGAGGAACACCGAUGGCGAAGGCAAUCCCCUGGACCUGUACUGACGCUCAUGCACGAAAGCGUGGGGAGCAAACAGGAUUAGAUACCCUGGUAGUCCAGCCCUAAACGAUGUCAACUGGUUGUUGGACGGCUUGCUGUUCAGUACGAAGCUAACGCGNGNGUGCGCNGGNGNGCGCGAGUGAGANANGAGUGNGNGNGAGAGNGCGAGAGAGAGAGGGAGAGG
RNAcentral lists this ribosomal RNA (592 nucleotides) under uncultured bacterium. Its description in RNAcentral is "bacterial SSU rRNA". It matches the Rfam family "Bacterial small subunit ribosomal RNA", at positions 338 to 873 of the family's 1533-position model. The record is from RNAcentral.